RNAcentral lists this ribosomal RNA (484 nucleotides) under uncultured bacterium. RNAcentral's name for it is "partial 16S ribosomal RNA". It matches the Rfam family "Bacterial small subunit ribosomal RNA", at positions 29 to 507 of the family's 1533-position model. The record is from RNAcentral.
AUUGAACGCUGGCGGCAUGCUUUACACAUGCAAGUCGAACGGCAGCGCGGGCUUCGGCCUGGCGGCGAGUGGCGAACGGGUGAGUAAUGCAUCGGAACGUGCCCAGUAGUGGGGGAUAGCCCGGCGAAAGCCGGAUUAAUACCGCAUACGACCUGAGGGUGAAAGCGGGGGACCGAAAGGCCUCGCGCCAUUUGAGCGGCCGACGUCGGAUUCGCCAGUUGGUGGGGUAAAGGGUUACCAAGGCGACGAUCCGUAGCUGGUCUGAGAGGACGACCAGCCACACUGGAACUGAGACACGGCCCAGACUCCUACGGGAGGCAGAAGUGGGGAAUUUUGGACAAUGGGGGCAACCCGGAUCCAGCAAUGCCGCGGGCGGGAAGAAGGCCUUCGGGUUGUAAGCCGCUUUUGUUCGGGAAGAAGACCUCUGGGCUAAUACCCCGGGGGGAUGACGGUACCGGAAGAAUAAGCACCGGCUAACUACGUG